RNAcentral lists this ribosomal RNA (484 nucleotides) under uncultured bacterium. RNAcentral describes it as "partial 16S ribosomal RNA". It matches the Rfam family "Bacterial small subunit ribosomal RNA", at positions 30 to 507 of the family's 1533-position model. The record is from RNAcentral.
AUUGAACGCUGGCGGCAGGCCUAACACAUGCAAGUCGAGCGGAUGAUGGGAGCUUGCUCCUGGAUUCAGCGGCGGACGGGUGAGUAAUGCCUAGGAAUCUGCCUGGUAGUGGGGGAUAACGUCCGGAAACGGGCGCUAAUACCGCAUACGUCCUGAGGGAGAAAGUGGGGGAUCUUCGGACCUCACGCUAUCAGAUGAGCCUAGGUCGGAUUAGCUAGUUGGUGGGGUAAAGGCCUACCAAGGCGACGAUCCGUAACUGGUCUGAGAGGAUGAUCAGUCACACUGGAACUUAGACACGGUCCAGACUCCUACGGGAGGCAGCAGUGGGGAAUAUUGGACAAUGGGCGAAAGCCUGAUCCAGCCAUGCCGCGUGUGUGAAGAAGGUCUUCGGAUUGUAAAGCACUUUAAGUUGGGAGGAAGGGCAGUAAGUUAAUACCUUGCUGUUUUGACGUUACCAACAGAAUAAGCACCGGCUAACUUCGUG